GUAUGCUUAUUCCGUGGUUCUAGUUAACCUAACUUUUACAAUUUUUCACAUUUAAAGGUUUCUAUCAGCUUGGGCAGAUUAAAUACAAAUUUGGUGACAUAAGGCAAAGAUCCAAUAUAAAAUUUAUUCAGUAUGUCCACAUAAAACGAGAAAUGAGAGAUCUCUGCCAUACGUCACUCUACAGGAUCAGCACUAGGGUUGUACACAGAAGUUCUAGACCACUUGAUAUUAGCCAGGAAGACACUGAUGAACUCAUCCAAAGAUGAGAACUCAUGUGCUCUACUCCGGAAAAACAACAGGGGUUCACCGCUCAGCAAGCUGGUUAAUUGGAGCCGCCACAUGUUCCAAGAGAUGUUAUUCUGACUCCUGAAGCGCUGGAUCCGCGGGCUCCUCUUCGCCCCACUCAACAUCGACAUCUGCUACCCCAGUAUUCAGUGGUGAGUUGGUAGCUUCAAUCUGAGUGGACGACAGAUGCUGUAAACCUUGAGGAUCGAAAACUAUUGAACUGACACUUCUGGGUUCCCUCUCCCAUGGCUCUGGAUCUGGAAAACCGCCGUUUAUAUAUGAAACCUCAGAAUUAGCCGGAGUGUGGUUCAUGUUAAUAUUGAGUGAUAAUUUAAAUUUGAAAAAGCAAGAAAGUUUAAGCAAUGAGGCCUUUAUAGUGGUCCACAAGAUAGAAUUUACAAGUGUGAAUAAAGUGUUAACAGUGGUAAAAAGUUUUCAAACCAUUGAUUACUCUCAUAUGAACAGGUAUUUACCAAUUUAAAGUUUAUUUUGUUUUAUGUCCUAUCUAGAUCUGUCAAUUUGCUCUGUAUGCCUGUAUUUAUAACUAUACAGCCUUCUUUUACAAAUAGUAUUAUAUUAAAAGAGAUCAAAUGUCAACUUUCGACUAGCUUAUUGCUGAUUGUAGCCUAUAUGAUUAUUAAACUGGCUUAUAUUUAACUGGUUAAUGAAUUGAUAAAAUUCAGCAAUUUAGGCCCAUAGAAUAUUCCAGAAUCUAGUUUCAAAAAUAAUAAAAUUAUUAAAAUAAUUUCUCUUUGCAUAAAGCUAUUACUUCCCAAAAUAAUUUUUUACUUUACUUGCGGUCACAAACAAGAUCUUACUGCCUAUCGUCCAUCCAUGACAAAUCCCAAUCUGUAUUGACUUGUCUAUACUUAUCAGUGAUAUACAGCCCUGAUUUAUACUCAAUAAUGUGAUUUUAUGAGCUCUGUUCUCAUCACCAGCCCCACUGUUGGAUGCGCCAUGUUUUCUCUAUAACGUGUGCCCUGCUUGGCCGCAGUCGGUAGAGCAAAUAUUUGGAUAAUGUAUAAUACUUUUUGUGAUUCCUGGAAAAAUAAUAGUACCAAUUUCUUACCAGCUCCCCCAGGAGCUCAAACAGUUCUCUGCUUUCGCUGGCUGCAAACAUCGGCCGCUUUAACAGUUCACAGUUCUUGUGACUGAUUUGGUGUACUCCACAAAUAUAGAUGCAGUAGAGAUAUUGAACUCUUUCCCACUGUCGGCCUUUGUUUAGAGUGGGUUUCGAACUCCCUCACUCUAUACGGUAUUUUGCCUGGCGCCAAUCAAUUACUAUGAAUUGAUAGAAUAAUUACUUUACUAAAAUUUCACUCACUGUGUGGAUACUUAUA
Molecule: long non-coding RNA, 1625 nt
Filed under: Nilaparvata lugens (brown planthopper)
Lineage: Eukaryota; Metazoa; Arthropoda; Insecta; Hemiptera; Delphacidae
Description: uncharacterized LOC120350524
Source: RNAcentral